Molecule: ribosomal RNA, 253 nt
Filed under: uncultured bacterium
Lineage: Bacteria
Description: partial 16S ribosomal RNA
Rfam family: Bacterial small subunit ribosomal RNA
Source: RNAcentral
UACGGAGGGUGCAAGCGUUGUCCGGAAUCACUGGGCGUAAAGGGCGCGUAGGCGGCUCAUGAAGGCUGUGGUGAAAGUCCGGGGCUCAACCUCGGAUCGGCCGUGGCGACUCGUGGGCUGGAGCACUGUAGAGGCGGGUGGAAUUUCGGGUGUAGCGGUGGAAUGCGUAGAGAUCCGGAAGAACACCGGUGGCGAAGGCGGCCUGCUGGGCAGUGGCUGACGCUGAGGCGCGACAGCGCGGGGAGCAAACAGG